UUUGUGAGUUAUUGACCCCAGGACAAGACAACUGUUGGUCGGGGUUUUUUCCAGUGGUAGUGUCGCCACCGCCGGAUAUUACUGUUUUUUUUGAAAAUGCUAGUUUUUGCAGUUAUUUCUAUUGUAAAAACCAUUCUUGAACCAUUACUUGGACUUUGAUAUAGAAUUAUAGAUGAGGCCGUAGACACUUGGGAGGGAAACGAUGUUUUUCAAAUAUUUUGACGUCAUAGAUACUCUUUUUAUCAAACAACUGGUGAAACACCCGAAACAUUUUUAGUCAUAUUGAGACAAAUUGGAAAUAAUGUUUUCCAGAAUGACACUGGCAGGCCAUACAAACUUUCCCGAGAAAUAGAGUUAUGUUGUUCAUGCUUUGGCUAAGAUCAUAACCGUGUUACCACAUGCUUACCUUAAUUUUUGACGUAAGCGUUACCACAAUACAUGAUGAAAUUAAUAUGUGCAUUCUCGUGUUUUACCAACAUUUUCAUCAUCUGGUACAUUGGCCAUCUCUUAAUGAAUGGACAGCAAAGAUGGGAAACUAGGAAAAACUCCCAAAUGCAGUGGGUGCUAUUGACGGUACCUCAACAGAAAUUUACAGGCCACUUGUU
RNAcentral lists this long non-coding RNA (605 nucleotides) under Mytilus galloprovincialis (Mediterranean mussel). The record is from RNAcentral. Lineage: Eukaryota; Metazoa; Mollusca; Bivalvia; Mytilida; Mytilidae.